AUUGAACGCUGGCGGCAGGCCUAACACAUGCAAGUCGAGCGAGAAAGUUCCUUCGGGAGCGAGUAGAGCGGCGGACGGGUGAGUAACGCGUAGAAAUCUGCCUGGUAGUGGGGGAUAACCCGGGGAAACUCGGGCUAAUACCGCAUACGUCCUACGGGAGAAAGUGGGGGACCUUCGGGGCCUCACGCUAUCAGAUGAGUCUGCGUCGGAUUAGCUAGUUGGUAGGGUAAGGGCCUACCAAGGCGACGAUCCGUAGCUGGUCUGAGAGGAUGAUCAGCCACACUGGGACUGAGACACGGCCCAGACUCCUACGGGAGGCAGCAGUGGGGAAUAUUGGACAAUGGGGGCAACCCUGAUCCAGCCAUGCCGCGUGUGUGAAGAAGGCCCUAGGGUUGUAAAGCACUUUCAGUGGGGAGGAAAUGGCCAAGGUUAAUAGCCUUGGUAGCUGACGUUACCCACAGAAGAAGCACCGGCUAAUUCCGUG
Molecule: ribosomal RNA, 484 nt
Filed under: uncultured bacterium
Lineage: Bacteria
Description: bacterial SSU rRNA
Rfam family: Bacterial small subunit ribosomal RNA
Source: RNAcentral